Molecule: ribosomal RNA, 253 nt
Filed under: uncultured bacterium
Lineage: Bacteria
Description: partial 16S ribosomal RNA
Rfam family: Bacterial small subunit ribosomal RNA
Source: RNAcentral
UACGGGGGGGGCAAGCGUUGUUCGGAAUUACUGGGCGUAAAGGGCUCGUAGGCGGCCAACUAAGUCAGACGUGAAAUCCCUCGGCUUAACCGGGGAACUGCGUCUGAUACUGGAUGGCUUGAGUCCGGGAGAGGGAUGCGGAAUUCCAGGUGUAGCGGUGAAAUGCGUAGAUAUCUGGAGGAACACCGGUGGCGAAGGCGGCAUCCUGGACCGGCAUUGACGCUGAGGCGCGAAAGCUAGGGGAGCAAACGGG